Molecule: ribosomal RNA, 440 nt
Filed under: uncultured bacterium
Lineage: Bacteria
Description: bacterial SSU rRNA
Rfam family: Bacterial small subunit ribosomal RNA
Source: RNAcentral
AACGCGAAGAACCUUACCUGGGCUUGACAUGUGAGUGACCGGCGUGGAAACACGUCUUCCCUUCGGGGCACUUUCACAGGUGGUGCAUGGCUGUCGUCAGCUCGUGUCGUGAGAUGUUGGGUUAAGUCCCGCAACGAGCGCAACCCCCGUCGCAUGUUGCCAGCAUUUAGUUGGGGACUCAUGCGAGACUGCCGGUGACAAACCGGAGGAAGGUGGGGAUGACGUCAAGUCCUCAUGCCCCUUAUGUCCAGGGCUACACACGUGCUACAUUGGCGCAUACAGAGGGCUGCGAUACCGCGAGGUGGAGCGAAUCCCUUAAAGUGCGUCUCGGUUCGGAUUGCAGGCUGAAAUUCGCCUGCAUGAAGGCGGAGUUGCUAGUAAUCGCGGAUCAGCAUUGCCGCGGUGAAUACGUUCCCGGGCCUUGUACACACCGCUCGCGA